AGAGAGAGACAUGCGCGCAUAUCAAUAAGCGGAGGAAAAGAAACUAACAAGGAUUCCCUUAGUAACGGCGAGUGAAGCGGGAAGAGCUCAAAUUUGAAAUCUUCAAGGUUUUACCUUGACGAAUUGUAGUUUAAAGGAAGUGUUUUCUGCUGAAGUUUUGGUAAAAGUUCUUUGGAAUAGGACAUCAUAGAGGGUGAGAAUCCCGUAUUUGACCAUUAUUUUCAGCUUUGUGAUACACUUUCAAAGAGUCGGAUUGUUUGGGAAUGCAGUCCAAAAUGGGUGGUAAAUUUCAUCUAAAGCUAAAUAUUGGCGAGAGACCGAUAGCGAACAAGUACCGUGAGGGAAAGAUGAAAAGAACUUUGAAAAGAGAGUUAAACAGUACGUGAAAUUGUCAAAAGGGAAGCGUUUGACACCAGUGUUGUUUUCUCGGAAAAUCAAUUAAAAAUGGCUCGAUCUUGUAUUGCUUGAGACCUUAAAAGCUCACUGUACAUUUUUCGUGUCUUUUUUAAUGCACUUUUCGUUUAACAAGUCAACAUCAGUUUCUUUUGUUGUAAAAGGGUCAUUGGAAGGUGGCUUUCUUUUCGGAGAAAGUGUUUAUAGCCUUUGGCCUCUGCAAUCGGAAGAGACUGAGGUCUGCAGCGUAGACUCUUCGGGGUUAGAUACAUUUGUGCUAAGUUAUAGCUUUUUAUAGACAACUUGUUGACUAUAAUUAGUCUUGUAGCUUACUCGCUUAUGCUAUUUUACCUACGCUUAGGAUGUUGAGUCGUAGAGCACGCAG
RNAcentral lists this ribosomal RNA (778 nucleotides) under uncultured Neocallimastigales. RNAcentral describes it as "partial large subunit ribosomal RNA". It matches the Rfam family "Eukaryotic large subunit ribosomal RNA", at positions 23 to 626 of the family's 3401-position model. The record is from RNAcentral. Lineage: Eukaryota; Fungi; Neocallimastigomycota; Neocallimastigomycetes; Neocallimastigales.